Molecule: long non-coding RNA, 1690 nt
Organism: Bos taurus (domestic cattle)
Lineage: Eukaryota; Metazoa; Chordata; Mammalia; Artiodactyla; Bovidae
Source: Ensembl
CGCACCGCCCCUCGCCCCUAGCCACCGCGCGUCUCCGCCGACACGCACUUCCUGCGAGGCCUCCGAGCGCACCUUAUCCCGGCCGAAUCGAGCUGUGCCCUGCCUUGCCUUUCCAAGCUGUUCGCCAUGGUGGAUGAGCUGGUCCUGCUGCUGCACGCGCUUCUGAUGCGGCACCGCGCCCUUAGCAUCGAGAACAGCCAGCUCAUGGAACAGCUUCGGCUGCUGGUGUGCGAGAGGGCCACCCUGCUGCGCCAGGCAUAGUGCUCUCCAGUCACCUGCUGCUGAGGCUGGGGCGUCUCUGAAGUGCGCUCUGCUGCCCACUCUGGCCAGCCCCAGGACCCUCACCGCUCAUUAGAACUGUGUUCUGAGCCCCAGCUCUAGGGCAAGCUCCUCUUACAAACCGGUCAGCCUAUACUCUGCCCUGCCGACUGUCAGGCCUGCACCUCUGCCCAGCGACCUGCGCUGCCACCCAAGCACGCUCCAUCAGAUUCCAGCGACAGACCCGGCCUUUGGAGAUCAGGAGCAACCUAGAAUAUGCCUUUGUGGGCUACACCUCCUGGGACACUGAUUUGGACUGCUCACCAACAACUCCACCCCCCUCCCCAGGGGCUAAUCUUUCAACUUGAUUAAUUGUUCUGUACUAACUCUGAGUCUUCCUCGUGCCCCACGAGAUUGCUGCAGGGGCCCAUUGUGCCUGGCAACCCAAUUGUUGACAUUUCUCCUAUGCACCAGUUUUGCACACCUGUCAUCUUUGUUUCAAAAUUGCAGCAGUCCCAUCGAGGUGUGCAUUUGGACAAAAAUACUAAAAACCGAACAAUACAAACAAAAGCAGGUACUCAGCCCAGCUCCUCAAUGCUACCUGGAAAAAGCAUUUGCAUUCUUUUCAAUAAAUUUCAAGCACUACCGAAAAAAAUACCAAAAAGUGUCUUUUCAUGGUUAAGGGCUAUCAUUGGCCUUUGCCACUUUCAGCCUGACUCUCAUUAUUCCCACUGAUAUCAGGGAAUCUAAUUCAACGUUCAAUCUCUGUACUCCCCACUGUCACGACUAAGCUCCAGAGGACAGUUACCACAGGGCUUUACGGGGAAACACGUACUACCCCCACUGACGCCUUUCUUAUAGCCCUGGUGAAGGGAGUGUUCUUUGGUGCUUCUGAGGUGGCAUGGGUAAGGGGUGGCUGAGGCAGACAGGUGGCACAGCAUCCCAAACUGGGACACUUUAGAGAGAACUUCAAGGGGGCACUACUAAUAAUUAGACUGGAACAACAAGUACAAGUCAGGACACACAAUAUUUCUAUCUUCAUGAGCUUUGGGGUUCUUCCUCAACAUGGUCAGAGAUGUUCUGCCUCUUAACUCUUAAUGCCUGUUGGGUGCUAUUGAUUUCGGGCUUCAAUACAUAGUGUAGCACAUUGUUUUAAAACCCCUUUUAGAUGCUUGAGCUAACAUUAAAUCCCAGAUCCUGGAUAAAUGUGUGCAUACUAAAUGGAGCCCGAUUUGAACGUUUCAUCUUCCUCAGGCAGAUCCCCUUAGAAUUCCUACCCAUCCAUGUGCCCCAGAUUCCUGCCUGAAGAAACUGACAAGAUUCCUAGAUCUUGUACUGCUGCUAUCUGAGCUAUGCUGAAAUCUCUUUGUGGGCCCGGAGGGCUCAGAGGCACUGAGGUAGUGGGGUGAGUGUUGAGAAGAAACUGCAUACC